AAUGGAAGCUUUGACUUAGUGGCGGACGGGUGAGUAACGCGUGAGGAACCUGCCUUUCAGUGGGGACAACAGUUGGAAACGACUGCUAAUACCGCAUGACAUAUAGAUGUCGCAUGGCAUUUAUAUCAAAGAUUUAUCGCUGAAAGAUGGCCUCGCGUCUGAUUAGAUAGUUGGUGAGGUAACGGCCCACCAAGUCAACGAUCAGUAGCCGGACUGAGAGGUUGAACGGCCACAUUGGGACUGAGAUACGGCCCAAACUCC
Molecule: ribosomal RNA, 261 nt
Filed under: uncultured Oscillospiraceae bacterium
Lineage: Bacteria; Bacillati; Bacillota; Clostridia; Eubacteriales; Oscillospiraceae
Description: partial 16S ribosomal RNA
Rfam family: Bacterial small subunit ribosomal RNA
Source: RNAcentral